This is a long non-coding RNA of Rhopalosiphum maidis (corn leaf aphid), 1356 nucleotides long. RefSeq lists it as uncharacterized. Lineage: Eukaryota; Metazoa; Arthropoda; Insecta; Hemiptera; Aphididae. The transcript is spliced from 3 exons. The record is from RefSeq and is a predicted model, not a curated record.
UUUAUUAAUAAUUUUCCGUGGUAUAUACUAUACCUAUAUCCCUCAACCGUCACAGCCGUUACGCCACAGUGCGCCUGUGGCCGUCUACACAACGAUAUUAUUGUCCGUUGUUGAAUUCGCCACCAAAAAUCCCGAGAAGACACCAUAGACCGUAAUAUACACGUACACGAAUACGCGAUAAUAUUUUUAGGUAUAUUAUUUUUUUAAUAAUUAAAAAAAUAGCGAUGCAAAAUAAAAGUGACGUUGCGCAAUCCGGUUGCCGUGCGUGCAGCGCCGCCGCAGUAUAACCUUGUACUUGACUCGACGUUACACUACUACUGUUACUGUACCAUAUACCUACGGAACUACAACAUCAUUACUACUACUUUUACCACUACUACCACUGAUAUCACUAUAGCCGCGGUUACUACCGCCGCCGCCGUCGUCGUGUGUGUGUGCGUGUUGGCGCGCUCGUGAUAUAAUCAUAACCGCUGGCAGCGGUCUCGCAGCGGUUUUCUGGUUAAUUUUCGCGGAGACGCGUCCGCCGCCACCGUCGUCGUCGUCGCGCGAGUGAAAAAGUGAACAGUUCGCGGGAAUUAAAUAAAUAAAAAACCGAAACCGAAACCGCUCGUCCGGGUCUCGUAGAUCGCGUAGGUGAGACUAGCCGCAGACGACCGACGACCGUUGUCGUGGCCGCACUUGGCCGCGGACCACUGCCGCGACAUCAUGUUGGACGUGGUGCGAACGUGUUUCACGUGCACGUCACGGAAAAAACGCUGUCAGUCAGUCGUUCACUGUUCGUAAAUUAGUAUAGGUACUUGUCUGCAAUAUCGGAGUUGAGGACGUUUUAUUGUUCAUAGAAUAAUUAACAAUGGUGCUCGACGCAAGAAAUGAAAAAUGCUCAUUCGCAGAUCAAAUAAAUCUUCACUUAUCACCAGUUGUAGAUUCUAUUGGUAAAUAUUUUCUUGAUUUGGAAAAUCGCCAAGUAAAUGCUUGGGUACUAGGACUUUUUUCAGUGGAAGAAGCAGUAUUUCCAGUUAUUGAAAUUGAAGCCAAAGUACAAUUUCUUGGACUUCGCGAAGACAACACACAAAAAAUAGAUUUUGGAAACACAUAACUAGCAACAUUUUGGCGAAAAAUUGGUGCGUGAUAGUGGAUUUCCAUUACCAUGACUAGAGCAAGAAAUCGAUCGAACUUGGAACACGGCAUAAUAAGAUGUUCAUUGACUGAAACUGAACCGAAUAUUAAACAAAUCGUUAGAAUUAAACAAAUCAGCCGGAUUAUUAGCUGAUAUUAUGUUAAAUUAUUGAUUCUAAAACAACUUUUUUAUUUAAGUUUUUUUUCAUGUUUAAAACAAAUAAAAAAUAUUAUUUUUUU